AUCAGCAGCAUUCUCCCUCCCUUCAAAAAAAAAAAAAAAAAAAAAGGAAAUGGGAAAGUAUUGCAAGCUUUGGAAUCAUACAAGUUACUAAAGUCCAGAAUUUUUUACUUUGAUAAAUACAUUUCUCCAAGAUUAAUGUUAUCAUCAGAAUUCCUUGUUUUGGGUAGAGCCCUUCCCACUUUUUUUUCUUAAAAUAUUUUUUAUUUAUUUUGUUAAAUAUUUUCAAAUUACAGUACGAAAAUUUUAACAAUCACUUAAAUGUGAUUCUAAUUUCUCUUCCUCCUUUCCCUCAUCUCUCCUGUCCUUGAAAAGGUAAGCAAUUUAAUAUCAGUUUUACACAUGAAGUCAUGUAAAACAUUUCCAUAUUAGCCAUAUUGAAAAAGGAAAACACAAACAAAAUAAAACAAUAAAAAUAGAUUUUUUUAAAAGUAUGCUUCAAUCUGUAUAUAGAGUUAAGGUAAAUAGUAUUUUUCAUCAAAGGUUCUUUAGAAUUGUCUUGGGUCAUUGUCUUGAUCAGAGUAACUAAAUCUUUCAGAUAGUCAUCCUUAUAAUAUGCUGUUAUGGUAUACAAUGCUCUCUUGCUCUCUUCACUUCAUUUUGCAUUAGUUCAUGUAAGUCUUCUAGAUUUUUCUGAAGCUAAUCAUUUUUAAUGCAUAAUAUUAUGCUAUCAUAAUCAAACUUGUUCAGUAAUUCCCAAUUUACAAAUAUUCUCUAAAUUUCCAAUUCUUUGCUCUCAGGAAUCAUUGGAUUCUCUGAGAAAUGAUUUGCCUCCAUAAAAAGAGCGGCUGUAAAUAUUUUGUAUAACGAUCCUUUUCUCUUUUCUUUGAUCUCUUUGGGAUCCGGACCAACAAGUGAUAUUGUUGGAUUAAAAGAUAUGCACAGUUUUAUAACCCUUAGAGAAAAUUCCACAUUGUUCUCUAGAAUAGUUGGACUAGUUUACAAUUCCAUCAAUAGUGCAUUAAUGUCCCAGUUUUUUCACAACACCUCCAACAUUUGUCUUUUUCCUUUUCUGAAUUCUCUAGAAUUCCUAUUCUACCUAAUAAGAUAGAUGUGGUUUGAUAUCUCAGAGUUGUUUUAAUUUUCAUUUCUCUAAUCAAUAGAGAGUUAGUGCAUUUUUAUGUGAUUAUUAAUUGAUAGUCUUGAUUUCUUCUGAAAAUGCCUGUUUGUAUCCUUUGACCAUUUAUCAAUGGGAAAUGGCUCUCAUUUUUAUAAAUUCGGCUCAGUUUUCUAUGUAUUUGAGAAAUGAAGCCUUUACCAGAGAAACUUGCUAUAAAAUUUUUUCUUUGGUUUUCUUUUUCCACUUUAUUUUGGCUGUAUUAGUUUUAUUUAUACAAAAGCUUUUUAAUUUCAUUUUAUUCAUAUUCAAUGACUAUUCAAAUCAAUAGUCAUAUUAUUCAGAUUUAUCCAUUUUUCAUAUUGGGAU
Molecule: long non-coding RNA, 1423 nt
Filed under: Sarcophilus harrisii (Tasmanian devil)
Lineage: Eukaryota; Metazoa; Chordata; Mammalia; Dasyuromorphia; Dasyuridae
Description: lncRNA (ENSSHAG00000028192.1)
Source: RNAcentral